GAACCGACCUGGCUCACGCCGGUUUAAACUCAGAUCAUGUAAAAUUUUAAAGGUCGAACAGACCUAAAUCUCUAGCUUCUUCACCAGGAAUUAAUUUUAAUCCAACAUCGAGGUCGCAAUCUUUAUUUUCAAUAAGAACUUUUAAAAAAAUUACGCUGUUAUCCCUAAGGUAAUUUAAUCUUAUAAUCUAAAUAAUAGGAUCAAUUAUAUACAUAUCAGUAUUCUAAUAAAAAAAAAGUUAAAUAAAUUUUUCCAUCACCCCAACAAAAUACUUACAUUUAACUUUAACUAUUCAAAUCUAAAAUUUAAAAUUAAAUAUAAAUAUAAAACUCUAUAGGGUCUUCUCGUCUUCUAUAAAAAUUUAAGCUUUUUAACUUAAAAAUAAAAUUUUAAUCAACUUACAUAGAGACAGUCAUUUUCUCAUCAAACCCUUCAUACAAGCUUUCAAUUAAAAAACUAAUGAUUAUGCUACCUUUGCACGGUCAAUAUACCGCGGCCCUUAAAUAUAUCAGUGGGCAGGCCAGACCUGAAAUUAUUGUCAACAAGCCAUGUUUUUAAUAA
Molecule: ribosomal RNA, 561 nt
Filed under: Trigonopterus sinuatus
Lineage: Eukaryota; Metazoa; Arthropoda; Insecta; Coleoptera; Curculionidae
Description: partial 16S ribosomal RNA
Source: RNAcentral